CGGAAACGGACGCUAAUACCGCAUACGUCCUACGGGAGAAAGCAGGGGACCUUCGGGCCUUGCGCUAUCAGAUGAGCCUAGGUCGGAUUAGCUAGUUGGUGGGGUAAUGGCUCACCAAGGCUACGAUCCGUAACUGGUCUGAGAGGAUGAUCAGUCACACUGGAACUGAGACACGGUCCAGACUCCUACGGGAGGCAGCAGUGGGGAAUAUUGGACAAUGGGCGAAAGCCUGAUCCAGCCAUGCCGCGUGUGUGAAGAAGGUCUUCGGAUUGUAAAGCACUUUAAGUUGGGAGGAAGGGUUGUAGAUUAAUACUCUGCAAUUUUGACGUUACCGACAGAAUAAGCACCGGCUAACUCUGUGCCAGCAGCCGCGGUAAUACAGAGGGUGCAAGCGUUAUUCGGAAAUUACUGGGCGUAAAGCGCGCGUAUGUUGAUUUGUUAAGUUGGAUGUGAAUUCCCCCGGGUUC
This 467-nucleotide ribosomal RNA is filed under the name uncultured bacterium. RNAcentral's name for it is "bacterial SSU rRNA". It matches the Rfam family "Bacterial small subunit ribosomal RNA", at positions 151 to 611 of the family's 1533-position model. The record is from RNAcentral.